CAAUGCUCAUGUCAAUGAUGCUUGGUGGCAUGCACCUUGUUAGUUGUAGCAUGACAGCUUGAUACUUAUCUAAACGCUUUCAUCAACUGUCUUCUGACAGCAAUGAAUGCAUCAAUUCAAAACAAUAUGAAGAGUGCAGCCAAAUGCAGUAAUCAUUGCAAAUUGCAGAAUUCCGUGAGUCAUUUUUCUUGAAUGUAGGCAUGUUCUUGGGCCACCCCUAAAGGACAUCAUUUACUCAGUGCAUCUUUGUUAAUGGUGUGCUCCACAUCAUGCAUUAUGUGUGUGUGUGAUGUGGUAUACUCUUCUUUGCAGUUAUGCAAUACACAUUCGUUUUGUCCAACAUCUGAAUGAAUGGCUUAAACCUGCUGAAUUUAAGCAUAUUAGUAAGCAGAGGAACCCCAUCAAACUUGGAUUUUGUAAGUAGUUGCGAAUGAACACAAAUUUGAUCACUUUGGCAAUCUGUACACAUUGCUGUGUAACAAUUUGUAUACGUUGGCACAGUGCUAUCAAAGCUGCAUGCAAGUGUUUUUUGAAAGGAUACAACAUGGGAUGUGAUAUUCAUGUGUGUGUGCCUGCUUUGUCCACAGCCUGUGCUGUAUGAAUCACAUUUCUUGCAACCGAAAUGCGAAUGGCAUGGUAAAGUUCAUGUGACAUGACACAAGCUUGAGAUUCAUGAUGUGCAAGUACCAUGAGGGAAAUGUGAAAAGGACUUUGGAAAGAGAAUUAAAUAAAGCCUGCAUUUGCUGACAAUGAAAGCAAGUGUGGAUGUUCAUGUAAUUGUUACUGCAUCAAUCAAUGUUCAUCUUGGUUACUGCAUGCUUUAUAUUACAGCUCAGAACAUGAAGUGUGUGUAACAGCUCUGCUUUGAUUUUUCCCACAUGGGAUCAGUUGAAACAUUGUGAGAGCACUCUUCAGUUUCCUUAUGUACCCACCAGCUUUGUCCACUCGCGUGUUGGCACACAUGUAAUGAUGAUGUGUUUAUGCAAGAUACUUCUGUGCUCAACAACAUGUUGUGUCAAUCCUCACUUGACCCGUCUUGAAACACGGACCAAGG
This 1054-nucleotide ribosomal RNA is filed under the name Ostreopsis cf. ovata. Its description in RNAcentral is "eukaryotic LSU rRNA". The stretch from base 338 to 1054 matches the Rfam family "Eukaryotic large subunit ribosomal RNA", at positions 1 to 671 of the family's 3401-position model. The record is from RNAcentral. Lineage: Eukaryota; Dinophyceae; Peridiniales; Ostreopsidaceae.